This 216-nucleotide unclassified non-coding RNA is filed under the name Hevea brasiliensis (rubber tree). Lineage: Eukaryota; Viridiplantae; Streptophyta; Magnoliopsida; Malpighiales; Euphorbiaceae. The record is from RNAcentral.
GAUCGUCCAUCGGCUAUGAAGAUGCUAUAAGUUCACAGUACAAAGAGAGCAAUCAUUUGCUAUCCCUCCAGCAGAAUGAAAACCCAGCUAUGUGGAUUCAUGGACCUGGUUCCCGAACAAUGUCUGCCGUUCCCGCUAGUGCGUAUUACGGUCUCCAAGGGCAGAACCAACAAUCUAGUGGAUUCCGACAAGCUCAGCAGCCUUCGCAACAAUAUG